Passer domesticus (house sparrow) is the source of this 255-nucleotide long non-coding RNA. RefSeq lists it as uncharacterized. NCBI's taxonomy places the organism in Eukaryota, Metazoa, Chordata, Aves, Passeriformes, Passeridae. The record is from RefSeq and is a predicted model, not a curated record. The transcript has 3 exons.
CGCGCCUCGCCUCAUCCGUGCCGAAGCAGUUGGCAUCGGCCGAGCUCCCUGGCACCCGGAGGGGGGAAAUCCUGAGCAAACCUGUGGUGGCACUUCCCUGUAUGAGCUUCCACCGAGUGCAGGACUCCACCUGAGAAACCAUCAAAAGGCAACUUAUUUCCAUGGAGCACCAAUAACCCCUCGGUCAUGCCGGCGUGGAUUUGAGGAGAGACAUGUGUGGCCUCAACCAUACAGGGAAUUUGAUCUCUGGGAUGA